Molecule: transfer RNA, 72 nt
Filed under: Camelus bactrianus (Bactrian camel)
Lineage: Eukaryota; Metazoa; Chordata; Mammalia; Artiodactyla; Camelidae
Also listed under: 1 other name
Rfam family: tRNA
About the family: Transfer RNA (tRNA) molecules are approximately 80 nucleotides in length.
Source: Rfam by way of RNAcentral
GCUGGUAUAGCUCAGGGGCAGAGUGUGUGCUUAGCAUGCACAAAGUCCUGGGUUCAAUCCCCAAUACCGUCA